This is an RNA transcript of Capra hircus (goat), 573 nucleotides long. It is a transcript of the gene named Golgi-associated plant pathogenesis-related protein 1 pseudogene, with no coding region annotated. The record is from RefSeq and is a predicted model, not a curated record. The transcript has a single exon. NCBI's taxonomy places the organism in Eukaryota, Metazoa, Chordata, Mammalia, Artiodactyla, Bovidae.
AGGCAGUGCAGUGUAGUGCACUGGGAGUGGAGCAGUGCGCUGAGCCUGCCAUGGGCAAAUCAGCCUCCAAGCAGUUUAACGACGAGGUCCUGAAGGCCCACAAUGAGUACUGGAAGCAGCAUGGUGUCCCCCCACUGAAGCUCUGCAAGAAGCUCAACCGGGAGGCUCAGCAGUAUUCAGAGGCCCUGGCCAGCACGAGGAUCCUCAAGCACAGCCCAGAGUCCAGUUGUGGCCAGUGUGGUGAGAACUUGGCAUGGGCAUCCUACGAUCAGACAGGAAAGGAGGUGGCUGAUAGAUGGUACAGUGAAAUCAAGAACUACAACUUUCAGCAGCCUGGCUUCACCUCUGGGACAGGACACUUCACAGCCAUGGUAUGGAAGAAUAUAAAGAAGAUGGGAGUGGGGAAGGCGUCUGCAAGUGACCGGUCCUCUUUUGUGGUGGCCAGAUACUUCCCAACAGGGAAUGUCAUCAACCAGGGCUUCUUUGAGGAAAAUGUCCUGCCUCCAAAGAAGUAAUUUGUCCAGUGGAAUGGGAAGGUGGCAGACUUAAGAACCUGGAUAUGAAGUGCCUAGA